RNAcentral lists this ribosomal RNA (460 nucleotides) under uncultured bacterium. RNAcentral's name for it is "partial 16S ribosomal RNA". It matches the Rfam family "Bacterial small subunit ribosomal RNA", at positions 28 to 507 of the family's 1533-position model. The record is from RNAcentral.
GACGAACGCUGGCGGCGUGCUUAACACAUGCAAGUCGAGCGGUAAGGCCUCUUCGGGGGUACACGAGCGGCGAACGGGUGAGUAACACGUGGGUGACCUGCCCUCAGCUCUGGGAUAAGCCUGGGAAACUGGGUCUAAUACCGGAUAUGACCUUUCCUCGCAUGGGGUUUGGUGGAAAGUUUUUUCGGCUGGGGAUGGGCCCGCGGCCUAUCAGCUUGUUGGUGGCGUGAUGGCCUACCAAGGCGACGACGGGUAGCCGGCCUGAGAGGGCGACCGGCCACACUGGGACUGAGACACGGCCCAGACUCCUACGGGAGGCAGCAGUGGGGAAUAUUGCGCAAUGGGCGGAAGCCUGACGCAGCGACGCCGCGUGGGGGAUGACGGCCUUCGGGUUGUAAACCUCUUUCGACCCCGACGAAUUUGGACGGUAGGGGUAGAAGAAGCACCGGCCAACUACGUG